CAUAUCUCCGACGAGCGAUGUCGAGCCACAAGGCGUGCUGCAGGACCAUGUUCGUGCGCGGGGCUGGUGAUGUUCGCGGGGAUCAUGUCGGGGCUCACCCUCGGCCUCAGGUCGCUCAGCCUGGUGGACCUGGAGGUGCUGGCCAAGGCUGGCACUCCGCAGGACCGAUGCAACGCCGCCACGAUCCUACCCAUCGUCAAGAACCAGCACCUCCUCCUCUGCAUGCUUCUCAUCUGCAACUCCCUCACCAUGGAGGCGCUCCCCAUCUUCCUCGACUCCCUUGUGCCCUCCUUCGGUGCCAUCCUCAUCUCCUUCACCCUCAUCCUGGCCUUCGGUGUGAUCAUGACGCAGGCCAUCUGCAUGCGCUACGGGCUGAGCAUGGGGGUCAAUGUGGCGCCCAUAGUCAGGGUGCUCCUCGUCGUCUUCUUCCCGGUCGCCUACCCCAUCAGCAAGGUACACCCAAUUUCUUCUUCUGCUUGCAAGAAUCCGGGAGCAACUACCAAUUUUGAGUGCAAGCAAAUAUAA
This 525-nucleotide ribosomal RNA is filed under the name Triticum aestivum (bread wheat). RNAcentral's name for it is "partial small subunit ribosomal RNA". The record is from RNAcentral. Lineage: Eukaryota; Viridiplantae; Streptophyta; Magnoliopsida; Poales; Poaceae.